RNAcentral lists this ribosomal RNA (544 nucleotides) under uncultured bacterium. Its description in RNAcentral is "bacterial SSU rRNA". It matches the Rfam family "Bacterial small subunit ribosomal RNA", at positions 777 to 1320 of the family's 1533-position model. The record is from RNAcentral.
AAUAGAUACCCGGGUAGUCCACGCCGUAAACGAUGGAUACUAGGUGUAGGAGGUAUCGACCCCUUUCUGUGCCGGAGUUAACACAAUAAGUAUCCCACCUGGGGAGUACGGCCGCAAGGUUGAAACUCAAAGGAAUUGACGGGGGCCCGCACAAGCAGUGGAGUAUGUGGUUUAAUUCGAAGCAACGCGAAGAACCUUACCAGGGCUUGACAUACCAUUGACCGCUCUAGAGAUAGAGCUUUCCUUCGGGACAAUGGAUACAGGUGGUGCAUGGUUGUCGUCAGCUCGUGUCGUGAGAUGUUGGGUUAAGUCCCGCAACGAGCGCAACCCUGUUGUUAGUUGCCAUCAUUUAGUUGGGCACUCUAGCGAGACUGCCGGUGAUAAAUCGGAGGAAGGUGGGGACGACGUCAAAUCAUCAUGCCCCUUAUGUCCUGGGCUACACACGUACUACAAUGGCUAUUACAGAGCGAUGCAAUACCGUAAAGGUGGAGCCAAACGCUAAAAAAUAGCCCCAGUUCAGAUUGUGGGCUGAAACCCGCCCACA